This is a long non-coding RNA of Melitaea cinxia (Glanville fritillary), 225 nucleotides long. RefSeq lists it as uncharacterized. The transcript has 3 exons. NCBI's taxonomy places the organism in Eukaryota, Metazoa, Arthropoda, Insecta, Lepidoptera, Nymphalidae. The record is from RefSeq and is a predicted model, not a curated record.
AAAGAUUUGAUUUUAAAGUAUUAAAAGAAAAUGGUGCGAAAUCGUAAGAGGAAGACGGAUUACGGUCUUCAUAGUGAAAAAGAUAUGGCAGAAGCGAUUAUUAUGGUUGAAAGUGGCGUGAGUCUUCGAAAGUGGCGUGAGUCUUCGAAAAGCAGCAAAUGCAAAGCAUGUCAGACAGAUGUCUAUAAGUUCCCAAAGGAUAUUUUAAAGAAAUUUAAUAUUUGU